CAGGUAUUUAAAUUUUCAAAUUCAAAUUUCAAUGGUAAAAUUUACUUGUACAAAAUCAGGUAUUAUAUAUAUAAUUCACCCAAUUCAAUAAAAAACCCUAAAUCAUUUCCCCCAUUUUCAAUCUCGUCUCUCGUCUCUCUUCCCUCUCUCUUUUCAUAGUGGCAGAGACGUUGCCGCUACAUCUGAAGAUUAGCAUCGGUUUCGAUGUGAGACUGGCGCCACUGCAAGAGGCGCGACAACGACCUCUACCCAGGAACACCACUACUGCGCAGAGAUACACCAGAAGAAGAGAAGUCGCGAUCAGAGUUUCGAUGCAAUAGGCGCUAAGCCGUCAGUUUUCUCUCCUCUUUUUCACGAAUUGUCGUCGUAUCCAAUGGCGCCGCACCUUUCCUACGGCGUCGCGAAUUCAAAGUCACACCUUAAUUUGAGCGCCAGCGUUGCCCGACGUUGUCGUGGCUAUGCUCACAAUUGAAUCACAAUGCCGCUUUUGAAGGUUUCUAGGCAUUGUACAGUGGUUUUCUUGUGAUUUUUAUGGCAUGUUUUGUUGCAAUUUUGAGGUUGUAUAGUGUGUUGUGGUGGUGGUGGGUUUGUGAUUCUUUGGUGGGUGUGGUGUAAAUGGAGAUAGAGGAGAUGGUGGUAGUGGUGGUGUGAUGUACGAUAGUGCUGUGUUGUGGACGUGGUGGUGUUAUAGGUACAGUGGUGUUCAAGAUGGUGGUGACAGGAAACGGUGGUGCCCAACUAUUGUUGUGUUGUUGUCGAUGAUGUUGGUGGUGGUUGAUACGGUGGUGGUGAUGGGUGGGGGUGUCUGUGACCAACCAUUUA
RNAcentral lists this long non-coding RNA (822 nucleotides) under Olea europaea subsp. europaea. Lineage: Eukaryota; Viridiplantae; Streptophyta; Magnoliopsida; Lamiales; Oleaceae. The record is from RNAcentral.